GAUGGCGUUUUCGACAGAAUUCUAAAGCAAGCGAAAGCCGUGGAAGCUCUUAAAUCGAGUUCUACGCCAUUCAGCCGGUCCUUCGACGAACCACCAUCGAAGGUGCCUCGUUGGGAACAGCCAACCAGCCGUUCUGGUGGAAGAGGUCGGGCCCCUUCCGCAGCCGGGCCACAGCCCUUUCGACAACGCCCCUCACUUCGCAGCUCGGGAGCGAGGGGUGCGGCAGCAGAGCCUGGCUACCGCAACAGAUAAAUAAUGAUGCACCUCCCAGCAUAUGGACGCUGACUUUCCUCUGUGGGCAAGUUGAAUGGUUGAACGUGGUUGAACGUUUUGGACUUUGAGGAGUUUUCUGGAUAGUAUCUCGGGUGACAAAUAAAUGUUGGCUCAGUA
Molecule: long non-coding RNA, 390 nt
Organism: Ornithodoros turicata
Lineage: Eukaryota; Metazoa; Arthropoda; Arachnida; Ixodida; Argasidae
Exons: 2
Source: RefSeq, a predicted model, not a curated record